GGGCAUGUGGUGUAGUUGGUUAUCACGCUCGCUUAGCAUCUUUGAGCUUGCGAGAGGGGUCCGGUUCAAUCCCGGACAUGUCCA
This 84-nucleotide transfer RNA is filed under the name Pilatotrama ljubarskyi. RNAcentral's name for it is "tRNA-Ala". It matches the Rfam family "tRNA". From Rfam's summary of the family: Transfer RNA (tRNA) molecules are approximately 80 nucleotides in length. Their secondary structure includes four short double-helical elements and three loops (D, anti-codon, and T loops). Further hydrogen bonds mediate the characteristic L-shaped molecular structure. tRNAs have two regions of fundamental functional importance: the anti-codon, which is responsible for specific mRNA codon recognition, and the 3' end, to which the tRNAs corresponding amino acid is attached (by aminoacyl-tRNA synthetases). tRNAs cope with the degeneracy of the genetic code in two manners: having more than one tRNA (with a specific anti-codon) for a particular amino acid; and 'wobble' base-pairing, i.e. permitting non-standard base-pairing at the 3rd anti-codon position. The record is from RNAcentral. Lineage: Eukaryota; Fungi; Basidiomycota; Agaricomycetes; Polyporales; Polyporaceae.